UACGGAGGGGGGCUAGCGUUGUUCGGAAUUACUGGGCGUAAAGCGCACGUAGGCGGCUUUGUAAGUUAGAGGUGAAAGCCCGGGGGCUCAACCCCCGGAAUUGCCUUUAAGACUGCAUCGCUAGAAUUGUGGAGAGGUAAGUGGAAUUCCGAGUGUAGAGGUGAAAUUCGUAGAUAUUCGGAAGAACACCAGUGGCGAAGGCGACUUACUGGACACAUAUUGACGCUGAGGUGCGAAAGCGUGGGGAGCAAACAGG
RNAcentral lists this ribosomal RNA (256 nucleotides) under uncultured bacterium. RNAcentral's name for it is "partial 16S ribosomal RNA". It matches the Rfam family "Bacterial small subunit ribosomal RNA", at positions 524 to 776 of the family's 1533-position model. The record is from RNAcentral.